RNAcentral lists this ribosomal RNA (499 nucleotides) under uncultured bacterium. Its description in RNAcentral is "partial 16S ribosomal RNA". It matches the Rfam family "Bacterial small subunit ribosomal RNA", at positions 28 to 507 of the family's 1533-position model. The record is from RNAcentral.
GACGAACGCUGGCGGCGUGCCUAAUACAUGCAAGUCGAGCGAAGUCUUUCUGGUGCUUGCACUAGAAAAAUUUAGCGGCGAACGGGUGUGUAACACGUAAAGAACCUGCCUCAUAGACGGGGACAAUUAUUGGAAACGAUCGAUAAUACCGUAUAACAGUAUUUCUCGUAUGUGAGAUAUUUAAAAAUUGGUUAUGCUAACAUUAUGAGAUGGCUUUGCGGUGCAUUAGCUAGUUGGUGGGGUAAAGGCCCACCAAGGCGACGAUGCAUAGCCGACCUGAGAGGGUGAUCGGCCACACUGGGACUGAGACACGGCCCAGACUCCUACGGGAGGCAGCAGUAGGGAAUCUUCCGCAAUGGGCGAAAGCCUGACGGAGCAACGCCGCGUGAGUGAAGAAGGAUUUCGGUUCGUAAAGCUCUGUUGUUAGGGAAGAAUGAGUAUGUAAUAAAUAUACAUGUAAGAGACGGUACCUAACCAGAAAGCCACGGCUAACUACGUG